Long non-coding RNA from Gadus macrocephalus (Pacific cod), 215 nucleotides. RefSeq lists it as uncharacterized. NCBI's taxonomy places the organism in Eukaryota, Metazoa, Chordata, Actinopteri, Gadiformes, Gadidae. The transcript has 2 exons. The record is from RefSeq and is a predicted model, not a curated record.
UUAAAAAAUGUUCAAAUUUAGGUCCUGGACACAGGGUAGCAGCACUCCUCAACAAAAGAAUAGAUGUAACAAAAUGUCCAACAACCUGUCAAAGUACAUUUUCACAGUCAGAGCAGAUCUCUCGUAGUAGCACUCAGAGCAGCUCUGAGAGAGUUCUGUACUCUUGGUGUCCAGACGCUGUCCUGGUGUUUGGGGUCUCUGCACUUCAAAUGAGU